This 301-nucleotide ribosomal RNA is filed under the name uncultured bacterium. Its description in RNAcentral is "partial 16S ribosomal RNA". It matches the Rfam family "Bacterial small subunit ribosomal RNA", at positions 509 to 807 of the family's 1533-position model. The record is from RNAcentral.
CAGUAGCCGCGGGAAUACGUAGGGUGCGAGCGUUAAUCGGAAUUACUGGGCGUAAAGCGUGCGCAGGCGGUUAUAUAAGACAGAUGUGAAAUCCCCGGGCUCAACCUGGGACCUGCAUUUGUGACUGUAUAGCUAGAGUACGGUAGAGGGGGAUGGAAUUCCGCGUGUAGCAGUGAAAUGCGUAGAUAUGCGGAGGAACACCGAUGGCGAAGGCAAUCCCCUGGACCUGUACUGACGCUCAUGCACGAAAGCGUGGGGAGCAAACAGGAUUAGAUACCCCGGUAGUCCCUGUCUCUUAUAC